RNAcentral lists this unclassified non-coding RNA (282 nucleotides) under Hevea brasiliensis (rubber tree). Lineage: Eukaryota; Viridiplantae; Streptophyta; Magnoliopsida; Malpighiales; Euphorbiaceae. The record is from RNAcentral.
AAACCCACUAAGCUAACUCCCAAAACCCUUCUUUCCUCUUCCUUCAUUUCCCCCUUCCUCUCUACCACCUCCUCCCCUUCAGCUUCCACUACCAUCACUACCUGCCGCCGCUCCUUCACCGUCCGUGCCGCCCGAGGGAAAUUCGAAAGAAAGAAACCCCACGUCAACAUCGGAACUAUCGGCCACGUCGACCAUGGGAAGACCACUCUUACAGCUGCCCUCACCAUGGCUUUAGCCGCUACUGGCAACAGCGCACCCAAGAAAUACGAUGAAAUUGACGCC